This 293-nucleotide long non-coding RNA is filed under the name Ananas comosus (pineapple). RNAcentral's name for it is "long non-coding RNA (ACOM_LNC043197)". Lineage: Eukaryota; Viridiplantae; Streptophyta; Magnoliopsida; Poales; Bromeliaceae. The record is from RNAcentral.
AACGCGCGAAUACACCUCCACAUCUGGUUUCACGCGAAACGAUCCAUACAAUGUCGCACCUUUCGCAAAAAUACCGUUUUGCCAUCUAAGACCUCUCCUCGAACAACGCGCAUUAUCCGCAGAUCUGUCCGUCAGAUUUGCGAACGGAUCACGCCAGUGCGAUCAGCACAACGAAGACAACAAACCCACGAUUUUGGUUCACCUCGAUCGAUCACGGAUUCGCAGCGGAACCCGUUCUCUCUCCGAAAGGCGAAAUGACGCACAAAUACAUAUAAUACAUGUAUUUUCAGAAU